This 3373-nucleotide ribosomal RNA is filed under the name Jannaschia sp. CCS1. RNAcentral's name for it is "Bacterial large subunit ribosomal RNA". It matches the Rfam family "Bacterial large subunit ribosomal RNA". Lineage: Bacteria; Pseudomonadati; Pseudomonadota; Alphaproteobacteria; Rhodobacterales; Roseobacteraceae. The record is from Rfam by way of RNAcentral.
AAUCAAGCGCGAAAAGGGCGUUUGGUGAAUGCCUUGGCAGUAAGAGGCGAUGAAGGACGUGAUACUCUGCGAUAAGCUAGGGGGAGCCGAGAAUAGGCUUUGAUCCCUGGAUUUCCGAAUGGGGCAACCCACCUGACAGUUUUCCUAUUAUUACUUCGGUAAUUAAUAGGUGGCUGAGCCAGGUAUUUUUAGGCUGAAUAUAUAGGCUUAAAAAAGCAAACCCGGGGAACUGAAACAUCUAAGUACCCGGAGGAAAGGACAGCAAUAGCGACUUCCCUAGUAGCGGCGAGCGAACGGGAACCAGCCGAGCCAUGAAUGUGAUCAGAAGGACCUGGAAAGGUCCGCCAUAGUGGGUGACAGCCCCGUAUGAGAAGCAUGAUUGGACGUAUCAAGUAGGGCGGGACACGUGAAAUCCUGUCUGAAGAUCGGAGGACCACCUUCGAAGGCUAAGUACUCCUUACUGACCGAUAGUGAACCAGUACCGUGAGGGAAAGGUGAAAAGCACCCCGACGAGGGGAGUGAAACAGUCCCUGAAACCGAACGCCUACAAGCAGUCGGAGCUUGACUGGAGUUUAAUUUGGAGAUGAAUAGAACGCAUGAAACGUUUUAUUUUUCUCGCAGCGAUCUGGAUCGCACCCGCAACCGAAGCCCAACAGGUUAUCGGAGGCCUAGGGUGGGAUGAAGAUGGCCAUGGGAUCCAUGGCACCAUCGAGUACAAUGUAACCCCGUUCCACAGCACGAACCGCUUCCAAGCGGCGCUGGCAGUGGCGGCAAGGAUUGAUCAAGAUGGUGAUGCAUGGAUCGGCGCCGGUGUUGCGCUGGAACGACAUCUCAGCGAGCGUGUGUUCGUCGAGUUUUCGUUCAUGCCGGGCUAUUACCACGAACAGGAUGAUGUCCUGGGCGGGGCGUUGCAGUACCGGUCGCUGAUCGGGCUCGGGUAUGACCUGAGCGAAACGUCGGCGAUCUCAGUCUCGAUCGACCACCUGUCAAACGGUGGAGCCGAAGACUUCAACCCAGGAUCAGAAGCCAUAGCCAUCCGCUAUCGCCUUCGGUUCUGACCUCCAAAUUAAUCUCCAGUCGGGUGACGGCGUACCUUUUGUAUAAUGGGUCAUCGACUUGGUCUCACGAGCAAGCUUAAGCCGUUAGGUGUAGGCGCAGCGAAAGCGAGUCUUAAUAGGGCGUUGAGUUCGUGGGAUCAGACCCGAAACCGAGUGAUCUAGGCAUGUCCAGGAUGAAGGUAAGGUAACACUUACUGGAGGUCCGAACCCACACCUGUUGAAAAAGGUCGGGAUGAGGUGUGCCUAGGGGUGAAAGGCCAAUCAAACUCGGAGAUAGCUGGUUCUCCGCGAAAUCUAUUUAGGUAGAGCGUCGACCGAAUACCACGGGGGGUAGAGCACUGGAUGGGUAAUGGGGCCCCACAGGCUUACUGAUCCUAACCAAACUCCGAAUACCCGUGAGUACUAGUCGGCAGACACACAGUGGAUGCUAACGUCCAUUGUGGAGAGGGAAACAACCCUGACCUCCAGCUAAGGCCCCUAAUUCAUGGCUAAGUGGGAAAGCAGGUGGGACGACCAAAACAACCAGGAGGUUGGCUUAGAAGCAGCCAUCCUUUAAAGAUAGCGUAACAGCUCACUGGUCUAAAUAAGUUGUCCUGCGGCGAAGAUGUAUCGGGGCUCAAGCCAUGAGCCGAAGCUGAGGAUGCACAUAGUGCAUGGUAGCGGAGCGUAGUGUGACAUAAGACUUAUCUUUAUUACUGCACUAAGGGUGUGCGGGCAUUCGUGUCCAAGCAGUCGAUAGGCGGUAGCAAAAGAUACAGUCUUUUCUGUGAAGCCGGGGCGUGAGCCAUCCGGUGGAGAGAUCACUAGUGAGAAUGAUGACAUGAGUAGCGACAAACAGGGUGAGAGACCCUGUCGCCGAAAGUCCAAGGGUUCCUGCUUAAAGCUAAUCUGAGCAGGGUAAGCCGACCCCUAAGGCGAGGCCGAAAGGCGUAGUCGAUGGGAACCAGGUUAAUAUUCCUGGGCCAGCCAGUAGUGACGGUUCGUGAAGAUUGUUCACCCUUAUUGGAUUGGGUGGGCCGUUAAUCGGAUCCUGGAAAUAGCUCUGGCAUAAGAUCGUACCCUAAACCGACACAGGUGGACUGGUAGAGAAUACCAAGGCGCUUGAGAGAACGAUGUUGAAGGAACUCGGCAAAAUACCUCCGUAAGUUCGCGAGAAGGAGGCCCAGUUUCUACGCAAGUAUUGACUGGGGGCACAAACCAGGGGGUGGCGACUGUUUACUAAAAACACAGGGCUCUGCGAAGUCGCAAGACGACGUAUAGGGUCUGACGCCUGCCCGGUGCCUGAAGGUUAAAAGGAGAGGUGCAAGCCUUGAAUUGAAGCCCAGGUAAACGGCGGCCGUAACUAUAACGGUCCUAAGGUAGCGAAAUUCCUUGUCGGGUAAGUUCCGACCUGCACGAAUGGCGUAACGACUUCCCCGCUGUCUCCAACAUCGACUCAGCGAAAUUGAAUUGCCUGUCAAGAUGCAGGCUUCCCGCGGUUAGACGGAAAGACCCCGUGCACCUUUACUACAGCUUCAGACUGGUAACAGGACUGGGAUGUGCAGGAUAGGUGGUAGGCUUUGAAGCAGGAACGCUAGUUUCUGUGGAGCCAUCCUUGAGAUACCACCCUUCGCAUUCUUGUUAUCUAACCGCGGUCCGUUAUCCGGAUCCGGGACCCUCUGUGGCGGGUAGUUUGACUGGGGCGGUCGCCUCCUAAAGAGUAACGGAGGCGCGCGAAGGUUGGCUCAGAGCGGUCGGAAAUCGCUCGUUGAGUGCAAUGGCAGAAGCCAGCCUGACUGCGAGACUGACAAGUCGAGCAGAGUCGAAAGACGGCCAUAGUGAUCCGGUGGUCCCGAGUGGAAGGGCCAUCGCUCAACGGAUAAAAGGUACGCCGGGGAUAACAGGCUGAUGGUGCCCAAGAGUCCAUAUCGACGGCACCGUUUGGCACCUCGAUGUCGGCUCAUCUCAUCCUGGGGCUGGAGCAGGUCCCAAGGGUACGGCUGUUCGCCGUUUAAAGAGGUACGUGAGCUGGGUUUAGAACGUCGUGAGACAGUUCGGUCCCUAUCUGCCGUGGGUGUAGGAUACUUGAGAGGAGUUGCCCCUAGUACGAGAGGACCGGGGUGAACGAUCCACUGGUGUACCAGUUGUUCCGCCAGGAGCAGUGCUGGGUAGCUAUGAUCGGAAAGGAUAACCGCUGAAGGCAUCUAAGCGGGAAGCCCCCCUCAAAACAAGGUAUCCCUGAGAACCGAGGUAGACCACCUCGUCGAUAGGCCAGAGAUGUAAGCGUGGUAACACGCUCAGUUGACUGGUACUAAUUGUUCGAUAGGCUUGAUUUG